AUUGAACGCUGGCGGCAGGCCUAACACAUGCAAGUCGAGCGGAUGAAGGGAGCUUGCUCCUGGAUUCAGCGGCGGACGGGUGAGUAAUGCCUAGGAAUCUGCCUGGUAGUGGGGGAUAACGUCCGGAAACGGGCGCUAAUACCGCAUACGUCCUGAGGGAGAAAGUGGGGGAUCUUCGGACCUCACGCUAUCAGAUGAGCCUAGGUCGGAUUAGCUAGUUGGUGGGGUAAAGGCCUACCAAGGCGACGAUCCGUAACUGGUCUGAGAGGAUGAUCAGUCACACUGGAACUGAGACACGGUCCAGACUCCUACGGGAGGCGGCAGUGGGGACUAUUGGACAAUGGGCGAAAGCCUGAUCCAGCCAUGCCGCGUGUGUGAAGAAGGUCUUCGGAUUGUAGAGCACUUUAAGUUGGGAGGAAGGGAAGUAAGUUAAUACCUUGCUGUUUUGACGGUACCAACAGAAUAAGCACCGGCUAACUUCGUG
RNAcentral lists this ribosomal RNA (484 nucleotides) under uncultured bacterium. RNAcentral describes it as "partial 16S ribosomal RNA". It matches the Rfam family "Bacterial small subunit ribosomal RNA", at positions 30 to 507 of the family's 1533-position model. The record is from RNAcentral.